This 461-nucleotide long non-coding RNA is filed under the name Rattus norvegicus (Norway rat). RNAcentral describes it as "long non-coding RNA NONRATT000121". The record is from RNAcentral. Lineage: Eukaryota; Metazoa; Chordata; Mammalia; Rodentia; Muridae.
UCCCAUGUUUUCAUACCACACUUAAUAGUUGUUUUAUCCUACUAAAUGAGUAUUUGUAGAAAUUAUGCUAAUUUUAUCUUCUAUUUAUGAAUAGAUACAUUGCCUUUAUCUGUGAUCUACAGAUAAAUUUAAAUUUAUUUUAGUUGUAUAAAAACAAUAUAAAAGACUAUUAAGUACUUUGAGUAUACUACCCAGUAGUUAAGUAUAUUCAAGUUCUUAUGCAAUGUAUUUUUUGAAAAUAAUUUUGCUUUUGAAACUAACUAUAUUUAUGAAAAAAAUUGUGUACUUUUGUCUCCAGGUAAACUAUUCUGUUUACCAUUCUACUGUAAGUUUUCUAAGUUUUGUUAGUAUAGAAUCUUCAGGUAAUUCAGGUCAUAUAUGUCUUUGUCUUGAUUUCAUUUUUCUUUUGCGAAUUGUCCUCUUGGCAGAUAGUAUACGGUUACCAUUUACAGGUUGAAUAG